Molecule: ribosomal RNA, 449 nt
Filed under: uncultured bacterium
Lineage: Bacteria
Description: partial 16S ribosomal RNA
Rfam family: Bacterial small subunit ribosomal RNA
Source: RNAcentral
AACGAACGCUGGCGGCAGGCCUAACACAUGCAAGUCGAACGCUGUAGCAAUACAGAGUGGCAGACGGGUGAGUAACACGUGGGAACGUGCCCUUCGGUUCGGAAUAACUCAGGGAAACUUGAGCUAAUACCGGAUAAGUGCGAGAGCAGAAAGAUUUAUCGCCGAAGGAUCGGCCCGCGUCCGAUUAGCUAGUUGGUGAGGUAAUGGCUCACCAAGGCGACGAUCGGUAGCUGGUCUGAGAGGAUGAUCAGCCACACUGGGACUGAGACACGGCCCAGACUCCUACGGGAGGCAGCAGUGGGGAAUAUUGGACAAUGGGCGCAAGCUUGAUCCAGCCAUGCCGCGUGAGUGAUGAAGGCCCUAGGGUUGUAAAGCUCUUUCGCCAGGGACGAUAUUAACGGUACCUGGAUAAGAAGCCCCGGCUAACUUCGUGCCAGCCGCCGCUGUAA